AAAAGUAAAAAUAUAAAAAGAAUAAAGUUCAAAUACCACUUCAGUGGAUUCGUACUUUCUGACACUUUAGCAUUUUAAAGUGUAUCAAUUUAGUAUUUUGUGGUUUCAUUUUUCUUUUUUCGUCAGUUCCUCCGUUAACUUUUCGUUAAAUUAUAUAUAAAAAAACUUUAGAUACCUCAUCUAUAGUUUAUCGAAUAUUCACUUUAAUACUAUUUUUUUUUUAACUUUCUCACUGAUUUAACAAAAAAAUUAGUGAAAGGGGAUAACAAAAAGAAGGAAGUAAGGUAAAAAAAGGUAUAGAACUUAUCUAAAUUAUUGCCAUUUUGAUUUGGCUAUCCAACUUUUCAAAAUUUUGAUUUUAUUAUCUGAUAUUUCAAUUUGUUUGAUUUGAGUCAAUUUAUGGUAUUUUGAUUUCAAAUUUUGAAUGUAUCGUUUAUCUUUACAUGUUUAGUGAGUAUAUUUUAUGCAAUUCUCACAACUGUAAAUUAAUUUAAGUUAUUAGCUUAAAGUUUGAAGUCAAGUUGUUGUUGACUAACUCAAAAUUAAACAAAUUGGAAUGUUGGAAACUAAAAUCAAAAUUUUAAAAGAUUGAGUAAUUGAAUCAAAAUAGUCUAUAAUUCUGAUAAGUUAAGUACAUCUUUAUAUUUUAGUAAAUAA
RNAcentral lists this long non-coding RNA (657 nucleotides) under Ananas comosus (pineapple). Its description in RNAcentral is "long non-coding RNA (ACOM_LNC010800)". The record is from RNAcentral. Lineage: Eukaryota; Viridiplantae; Streptophyta; Magnoliopsida; Poales; Bromeliaceae.